RNAcentral lists this ribosomal RNA (832 nucleotides) under Apiospora arundinis. RNAcentral's name for it is "eukaryotic LSU rRNA". It matches the Rfam family "Eukaryotic large subunit ribosomal RNA", at positions 81 to 941 of the family's 3401-position model. The record is from RNAcentral. Lineage: Eukaryota; Fungi; Ascomycota; Sordariomycetes; Amphisphaeriales; Apiosporaceae.
UAGUAACGGCGAGUGAAGCGGGAACAGCUCAAAUUUGAAAUCUGGCCCUUGGGUCCGAGUUGUAAUUUGCAGAGGAUGCUUUUGGUGCGGUGCCUUCCGAGUUCCCUGGAACGGGACGCCUUAGAGGGUGAGAGCCCCGUACGGUUGGCCACCAAGCCUGUGUAAAGCUCCUUCGACGAGUCGAGUAGUUUGGGAAUGCUGCUCAAAAUGGGAGGUAUAUUUCUUCUAAAGCUAAAUACUGGCCAGAGACCGAUAGCGCACAAGUAGAGUGAUCGAAAGAUGAAAAGCACUUUGAAAAGAGGGUUAAAUAGCACGUGAAAUUGUUGAAAGGGAAGGAUUUAUGACCAGACUUUUUCUGGGGGGAUCAUCCGGUGUUCUCACCGGUGCACUUCCCCCAGUUGAGGCCAGCAUCGGUUUCUGCCGGGGGAUAAAAGCUUUGGGAAUGUGGCUCCUUCGGGAGUGUUAUAGCCCGUUGCAUAAUACCCUGGCGGGGACCGAGGUUCGCGCAUUGCAAGGAUGCUGGCGUAAUGGUUAUUAAUCACCCGUCUUGAAACACGGACCAAGGAGUCGAACAUUUGUGCGAGUGUUUGGGUGUUAAACCCUCACGCGUAAUGAAAGUGAACGGAGGUGAGAGCCUUUAGGGGUGCAUCAUCGACCGAUCCUGAUGUCUUCGGAUGGAUUUGAGUAAGAGCAUAACUGUUCGGACCCGAAAGAUGGUGAACUAUGCGUGGAUAGGGUGAAGCCAGAGGAAACUCUGGUGGAGGCUCGCAGCGGUUCUGACGUGCAAAUCGAUCGUCAAAUCUGCGCAUGGGGGCGAAAGACUAAUCGAACC